This 496-nucleotide ribosomal RNA is filed under the name uncultured bacterium. RNAcentral describes it as "partial 16S ribosomal RNA". It matches the Rfam family "Bacterial small subunit ribosomal RNA", at positions 29 to 507 of the family's 1533-position model. The record is from RNAcentral.
AUGAACGCUGGCGGCGUGCCUAAUACAUGCAAGUCGAGCGAACAGAUAAGGAGCUUGCUCCUUUGACGUUAGCGGCGGACGGGUGAGUAACACGUGGGUAACCUACCUAUAAGACUGGGAUAACUUCGGGAAACCGGAGCUAAUACCGGAUAACAUUUGGAACCGCAUGGUUCUAAAGUGAAAGAUGGUUUUGCUAUCACUUAUAGAUGGACCCGCGCCGUAUUAGCUAGUUGGUAAGGUAACGGCUUACCAAGGCGACGAUACGUAGCCGACCUGAGAGGGUGAUCGGCCACACUGGAACUGAGACACGGUCCAGACUCCUACGGGAGGCAGCAGUAGGGAAUCUUCCGCAAUGGGCGAAAGCCUGACGGAGCAACGCCGCGUGAGUGAUGAAGGGUUUCGGCUUGUAAAACUCUGUUAUUAGGGAAGAACAAACGUGUAAGUAACUGUGCACGUCUUGACGGUACCUAAUCAGAAAGCCACGGCUAACUACGUG